This 1138-nucleotide long non-coding RNA is filed under the name Anser cygnoides (Swan goose). Its description in RNAcentral is "lncRNA (ENSACDG00005003538.1)". The record is from RNAcentral. Lineage: Eukaryota; Metazoa; Chordata; Aves; Anseriformes; Anatidae.
CAGGGAAUGUGUGGAUUGUGGGGGUGAAUAUUGUGCUUGCUUUGAGUGAAAAUGAGAGAGAAGCAAAGAAAAUAGGAAAUUAUACUCAUCUAGAUUUAACAAGAAAGUUGCAGCAGGGCACUGAGCAAGAGGCUAAGCAGACCUCUUUAUAACAUAGUGGUCUGCGUCUAUGUUAGUGCAUGUAUUUCUGCAGAAAGACCUAGGAGUUCCUUGACUAAACAGGUACAAAACAAAAUUGAGACAUAAUACUGAAACUUAAAAAAAUAGUGCUUUUAAAAUAAAGCAGUAAUCCAGGCAUGAAGGUUAUGCACAGGGACAUUUUUGAAAAUACUCCAUCCUAGCAUCAGCCCCCUUUUUUUUUUUUUUUUUUAAAGGCUGAAAGCUAGUGAAGUUGUAGAAACUGGUAGAAGGAAGUUUAUUUUUUCAAAUACUUUCUUCAAAUACUAGAAACAGGUACAGACCACUUUCCUUUAAAAAAACUGUAAUUUAUAAUAAACUGUUCCCUAAUCACUCACAUAUUCAGCACAGCUGGUUUACUUAGUCUCUCAUUCAUAAGAAAGCAAUAUCACAGCAUGGUAGCAGGAAAUAAAAGGGAUUUACAAAGAACUGGUCACAGAAGAGGUUAAGUACAAAAUCUAAUUAAAAAUACUUCAAAAUGUGAUUUAGUCUCUGUAACAGUGUAGUGGAUUUAUUUUAGGGAAUACUUGAUGCUUCGAUAAUUACUGACAGAAGCAUGUAUUCCAAGUUUGUCUUUGCUAUGUAUUUUCACAGGGAAAAUGAAGAGAUACCUGAUUUUGCACCAGCUUCAGGGGAAGAGAGAAGAGACAUGCUGUAUUCCUAGAUUUUAAAAGGAAAUGAGGUGACAGGAAGAAAUGGUGAGAAAUCAUAGGCUAUUUCAUUUUCUUCUUAGUUCUGCUUUUGAAUAAUCAGAUGUAUUAUUAUUUUCUUUUUUUUUUUUAAUUCAUCUUAUUAAACCAUUUUUUUUCUCUGUACUUUUUGUUUAUUUUAGUUAUCAAAGACCUAAGAAAUAGUUUUACUAAAUGUGUAGCUCAGACACACAAUACAUUGGUGGAAUUCAGUCACUGGGAAAUAAGAAGUUGUAAUCCCAGAAAAUGUAUGCAGGUAUUAAAACUAGCUG